UACCAGAAAAUUGAGUCAUAUUUAUAAGGUAAAAAGAUAGUUAGACAUUGAAAAUUUUCGGGCUUACUGAUUAUUUAUAAAAAAGUAAAAUUUGAAUAUAAAUACAUAAUUUAAUAAUAGCUUAAUAAGUUGAAUCUAUGACAACCUUGAGGGAAACUGGGAUUAGAUACCCCAUUAUUCUAGGUUAUAAAUCAAAUGAAAUUUACCAGAGUACUAUGAAUACUACAGAAUUUAAAACUCAAAGGGCUUGGCGGUGUUUUAGACCACUCAGGGGAACCUGUCUCAUAAUCGACAAUCCACGUUAUAUCUGACCUUUUUUUGCUUUCAGCCUGUAUACCGUUGUCGUCAGGUAACUUUUUAGAAAUUAGAAGUUAGCUAAAAAUACUAUAAAUUAAAACGUCAAAUCAAGGUGCAGCUUAUAAGAAGGAGAGGAUGGGUUACAAUUAUUUAGUUAUAAUUACGAAAAAUCAUAAGAAUUAGGUGAUAAGAAGGAGGACUUGAAAGUAAAUUAGAGUAUAUAAAUAAUUUGAAUAAGGCUCUGAAACGUGC
RNAcentral lists this ribosomal RNA (549 nucleotides) under Lucerapex cf. casearia MNHN 42448. Its description in RNAcentral is "partial 12S ribosomal RNA". Lineage: Eukaryota; Metazoa; Mollusca; Gastropoda; Neogastropoda; Turridae. The record is from RNAcentral.